This 233-nucleotide ribosomal RNA is filed under the name uncultured bacterium. RNAcentral's name for it is "partial 16S ribosomal RNA". It matches the Rfam family "Bacterial small subunit ribosomal RNA", at positions 544 to 776 of the family's 1533-position model. The record is from RNAcentral.
UUCGUCAUCAUUGGGCGUAAAGAGCGUGUAGGCGGCUUGUUAAGUCUUGCGUGAAAUCUCGGGGCUCAACCCCGAGCGGUCGUGAGAAACUGGCAGGCUAGAGUGCGGGAGAGGAGAGUGGAAUUCCUGGUGUAGCGGUGAAAUGCGCAGAUAUCAGGAAGAACACCCGUGGCGAAGGCGGCUCUCUGGAACGCAACUGACGCUGAGACGCGAAAGCGUGGGGAGCAAACAGG